ACCUGCCUGCUGCAGUUUACCAUCGCAACAGUAGAAGUCUGCGAAUAAUAAGAAGAGUGCCCUAAGCCAUCCCGAUCAGGGCCAAAUUUGAUCUUUUGUCUGCUAGAUUUUUUAUAAAACCACUACACUUACAACACAAACAAGAAGCCAAGAACCAUCAUCAUCAUCGAUCACGGCUUCCCAGCAGCCGAUCGAUGCCGAUUGCGCGCUUACUCUCGCGAGUGCGUGAUCUCCCAGCUAACCGUACGCACAUAAGGCACGUAUGCACUAGAUAUUGGGCAAUUUCAAAACCGAAGGCCGAUCGUUGAAUGAUUACCCUAGCACAAAACACAACAUGCACACCCACCGAUUAUGUUUAUGCUCAUCAUCACAUCAACAUACCGGACCGACAUCAACCAUGCCAGCAUCAAACUAAUUUCCCGUUGGGGAAAUCAAGUCGAGCAGCCACCCUGGCGACGCCCCGGUACUCACUCUCCAAUCUCUUAUCGGCCGACGCCAACUAGAGCCGUGAGUGAUAAAGCGAGGCGCGAUCGGUCAGGCAAUAUAGCCGAUCGUCGCCCGCGGAUCGUCAUCAGUCACUGGUUUAUCGUAAAGGAGACCGCGUCGAUCGUCAACCCGUCAACUUUUCCGCCGGACGAUCGACCUCAGGAAGAAGUUUUGUUCGAGGAAUCUCUGUGGUGAAAACCGUCUCACCAGUGUAAUUUUUGCGGAUUUUGUGGUGUUAGCAUAAUUGUAAUUUUGAUUGUUUCGCCUAGGAGGAAGAACAAGGCGUGGAAUAAUAACCGCACUGGAGUGCGAGGUGCCGCGACACCGUAAAUUGGUCGUGGUGGAGAGUGAGGUGGCGUCUACGAUCAGCAUGGAAAGCAUGGCCAUGCUGGAGUAGAUAGGAGUACUUGAGAUCGGCCUUCAUUUCCUGUUUCGCAAGCUAAAUUCCAUCAUGGCUGGAGCCGUGGUGUUGAGCAGUGCGCUGCUGUGCAUUCCUGCCGACUGGACGGCGGGGCAAAUGCACCGGAUGGCCGGCGUUCUCGCCGGUGACCAAGCUGGGUUCUGCCCGGGCAGCAACGUUGUUCCGGAUCGUCGAGGGAUACACGGGGGUCACACACACACACACAGGUUUACACCCGCAACUCUAGUUUUAAGGACGCCAACUAGGUUUAGUUCGCCAAUAUAGAUGUAAGUACGCUAAAAUCCCCUCUUUUAUUUCUGUGUAGGUUGAAUUUAUCCUUGUCUUGGGAGGGCUGGUUGAUUAUCUGGGAUUCUGUUGGAAUUCGACCCAUUUUUAUUGUUUGCUGUGUUCUAUUGCAUCUGUGCAGGAAAUGGUACUCCUGCUAUUCAAUAGUACUCCAUCUUGUCUCAUGCUCGC
This is a long non-coding RNA of Culex pipiens pallens (northern house mosquito), 1363 nucleotides long. RefSeq lists it as uncharacterized. The record is from RefSeq and is a predicted model, not a curated record. The transcript is spliced from 3 exons. NCBI's taxonomy places the organism in Eukaryota, Metazoa, Arthropoda, Insecta, Diptera, Culicidae.